GUAUCAUAUGCUGUCAAUCAUUAAAUUGCCACGCCUAGUUCUGAGAAAUAAUGGCGCAUGCGCAGUCUGGACUGCUUUAAUGACCAUUCAAGAAAAUUAUGUAAUUUCUCUUACACCCAGGAAUUUAUUUACUGCAAAGAAAAUCCAAUUUCCCAAAUAUCUUAUUAGGAAAAAUUCCCAUCUUCUGCUUACAGCCUGGUUAUAUUAGCCUUAGUUUUAC
Non-coding RNA from Pelobates cultripes (western spadefoot toad), 220 nucleotides. NCBI's taxonomy places the organism in Eukaryota, Metazoa, Chordata, Amphibia, Anura, Pelobatidae. The record is from the annotation of a GenBank genome assembly.